AGUCCUUUAUGGGGACCAAAUUUCCCCACAAGAAAUUGAGCGCAUGGUUGCUUUUGCGGCCCAAAAGAAUGAAUAUUAGAAAACAUUUAAAAAAAGUCUAAGUUUGCUCUGAGCGCUUGUGUUGUUUACCAAGAAAAUGCAGCGCUGUUGGUUUUUAGUUCUGUAUCGCAUCGUGGUGAGUUUCGAUUUCUUGGUUAUUCGGUUUGUGAAAUGACUAUUAAUUACAAGCACAGCAUCAUCAACGGUGAUUGCAAGAACUACUGCAAUCCCUGCGGUUUUUCCUCUUGGUAAAUGCAUUCUGGUCGUGACCAAGGGUGGUCUCCCAAAUCGGCUGGGAAUAAGGUUAGUCAUUUUAAAUUUUAUAUCUUUGUUCGUCGACAUUAUAUGACAUGUCAUCAUUGCAGGCUAUUGUUGCAGAACAAAACGCCGCAACCACUGCUGUGGUAAAUAUGUUCCAGCAGAGCUGCCCACCCCGUCGGUGUAAUGAUUUCGAUAGCUGAACAAACGCCAUCUCCUGGGCAUUCCCACAGCUUGCCGACACUAGCUAUUAUAUCACGUGUGAAUGCAACUGCGGCUUAAUUUGGUUAUUAACAGUGCAAUAGCAGAGAACGUUUAUAAAUGAGAGGGCGCAUUUUCUGUGUGAACUAAUUGGUGCCAGAAAUUUUGGGGUGCAGUCGGCCAAAUAUACCACUCGUCGACAAAGUGCACCACUCGACCGACGGUGUCGGCAGAGAAGUGUCGACUGCCACCAUACCAAAAAUUUUUCCGUGCCACCACACUUCGAGCAAAUUUACUAUAGUUCAAAGCAAAAUGAAAAAAUAAGAACGAAAAAGGAAAGAGGAACAGAAAUAUAAUAAGCACUAGGCAGAGGGGAUGCUUGCGGAGGCAGGCGCGUGCUUGUAUCGGAUCAAAACAAACUCUAAAAUAAAAAUGGAAGUCAGAACGACAAGUGUACAGAAGAAGCGGGGAAACGGGGAAAGGAGCGGGUUUUUGUACAUUUGCUUGCUUGCCGAAAAUAUAUUUGCGUGAAAUCGAUUUGCUGAUUGUUGCAAAUUGAUUUUUGCAAACAUGUAUGAAUUUUUCUAUUUCAGCUAAGUUGAUAAGAUUUUCUAUGGCAUUUUUUUUUACUUUUUUCUGAUGGCAUUUUUCUUUGUGCAUACGAGCGAAAAAGCAUUUACGCACAUAUAUUCUUUGGUACGUAAAUGUAGAUAUGUCAACGAAAAUUAAAAAAUUUUGGAUAUUCGUACUUGCAAAAUCGAUAGUACAUGUAGCCAGUAAGAUGCAUGAAUUUUAAUAAGUGCUGUGGCAUAGUUGGUUGAUGCGUGGCGAUAAACGAUACUUUGCUGCAGUUGUUGUCAGGGUUCAUAUCCUACCCGAGGCGGUUAUUUUUUAUGAAUUUAUUUCUAAAAUAAAAUAAAGAAUAAUUUCGCGGUUGAAA
Long non-coding RNA from Rhagoletis pomonella (apple maggot), 1438 nucleotides. RefSeq lists it as uncharacterized. Lineage: Eukaryota; Metazoa; Arthropoda; Insecta; Diptera; Tephritidae. The transcript is spliced from 3 exons. The record is from RefSeq and is a predicted model, not a curated record.